CUGAAUAUCCAAAAAAGAGAAAAAACCCAACUCUUCAAGCCACACACACCACAAGCCCGUCCUCUCCCCGCACCCUUCUUCCCUCUUCCUCCUGCUGACCUCCCGACCCAAAGAUCUCCUCUGAUCUGCCGCCGCCUCCCCUACAGCCGCCGCCGCGCCGUGCCUUAGCGCCAGCCACCGCCGACCCUUCGCCCCCCCCCCCCCUACCCCACCCCCUCGUACUCGCGCCCAUCGCCGCUCCCGGUUGCCCUCAUCGUCACAUCGCGUCCCCGCCGUCUCCGCCCCCGCCGCAGUCUUUGGGUUCUGAGGAACAUACCAUGGAGAUCAGGCCAAUGGUAGCCCUGCGUGCUGCCCUAGUAGGCGGGGUAGCUGCAUUCGCAAAGAUCGCCGGGGCGAUGAAAGCUGCAGGCGGCGUGAAGGUUGGUGCGGCGGCUGCAGCCAUGACAGCCGCCGCGACGGCUGCCGUAUCCGGAAAAGAUGCGGGUAAUGAUAACCAAAAGCCGGGGGCAAAAUGAUACAACCUGCCAUGGAUUUGCUGGAGAAGCAGUGUUCUAAAAUGCUUCUCCAUAGCGUGUAGACCAGCAUUCAGCAGUUUAUCAGUGCUGAAGAGCUGCGGAAGCUAAUCGUGGCCUUCGGGAGGAGACUGCAUUCACAAUAAAUAAGUUUUGCCAGCGCAAUUCCCAUGAUACAUGUGUUUUUGUAACUCAGGGUAUAAGAAUUAUGAUAUCCUGAUUUUCUUCUUCUUCUUGAUUGUUUUGCUCCCAUGAUACAUUAUAAUCAGUGCUGAAGUGCCCUGAAACUAGUGUCAGGUACCAAAUUGCUGUGUCUAAACGGUUCCUCAGUAAACGGUUCUAUUAAGCACAUGUUCAGCAUUUGCUCGCGACC
Triticum aestivum (bread wheat) is the source of this 885-nucleotide long non-coding RNA. RefSeq lists it as uncharacterized. NCBI's taxonomy places the organism in Eukaryota, Viridiplantae, Streptophyta, Magnoliopsida, Poales, Poaceae. The record is from RefSeq and is a predicted model, not a curated record. The transcript is spliced from 2 exons.